UGCCUGAUGGAGGGGGAUAACUACUGGAACGGUAGCUAAUACCGCAUAACGUCGCAAGACCAAAGAGGGGGACCUUCGGGCCUCUUGCCAUCGGAUGUGCCCAGAUGGGAUUAGCUUGUUGGUGGGGUAACGGCUCACCAAGGCGACGAUCCCUAGCUGGUCUGAGAGGAUGACCAGCCACACUGGAACUGAGACACGGUCCAGACUCCUACGGGAGGCAGCAGUGGGGAAUAUUGCACAAUGGGCGCAAGCCUGAUGCAGCCAUGCCGCGUGUAUGAAGAAGGCCUUCGGGUUGUAAAGUACUUUCAGCGGGGAGGAAGGGAGUAAAGUUAAUACCUUUGCUCAUUGACGUUACCCGCAGAAGAAGCACCGGCUAACUCCGUGCCAGCAGCCGCGGUAAUACGGAGGGUGCAAGCGUUAAUCGGAAUUACUGGGCGUAAAGCGCACGCAGGCGGAUUGUUAAGUCAGAUGUGAAAUCCCCCGG
This 484-nucleotide ribosomal RNA is filed under the name Escherichia coli. RNAcentral describes it as "bacterial SSU rRNA". It matches the Rfam family "Bacterial small subunit ribosomal RNA", at positions 127 to 607 of the family's 1533-position model. The record is from RNAcentral. Lineage: Bacteria; Pseudomonadati; Pseudomonadota; Gammaproteobacteria; Enterobacterales; Enterobacteriaceae.